AGGACGAACGCUGGCGGCGUGCUUAACACAUGCAAGUCGAGCGGUAAGGCCCUUUCGGGGGUACACGAGCGGCGAACGGGUGAGUAACACGUGGGUGACCUGCCCUUAGCUCUGGGAUAAGCCUGGGAAACUGGGUCUAAUACCGGAUAUGACCUCGCGAUGCAUGUCGUGGGGUGGAAAGCCUUGUGCGGCUAGGGAUGGGCCCGCGGCCUAUCAGCUUGUUGGUGGGGUGAUGGCCUACCAAGGCGACGACGGGUAGCCGGCCUGAGAGGGCGACCGGCCACACUGGGACUGAGACACGGCCCAGACUCCUACGGGAGGUAGCAGUGGGGAAUCUUGCGCAAUGGGCGAAAGCCUGACGCAGCGACGCCGCGUGAGGGAUGACGGCCUUCGGGUUGUAACCUCUUUCAGCCCUGACGAAGCGAAAGUGACGGUAGGGCAGAAGAGCACCGGCCAACUACGCGCCAGCAGCCGCGGUAA
RNAcentral lists this ribosomal RNA (480 nucleotides) under uncultured bacterium. RNAcentral describes it as "SSU rRNA". It matches the Rfam family "Bacterial small subunit ribosomal RNA", at positions 26 to 523 of the family's 1533-position model. The record is from RNAcentral.